UACGUAGGGUGCAAGCGUUGCCCGGAUUUAUUGGGCGUAAAGGGCGCGUAGGCGGCUCUGCACGUUCGUUGUGAAAUCGCCCGGCUCAACUGGGCGGGGUCAGCGGAUACGGCAGAGCUUGAGCAAGCUAGGGGGCAAUGGAAUUCCCGGUGUAGUGGUGGAAUGCGUAGAUAUCGGGAGGAACACCAGUGGCGAAGGCGGCUACCUGGACCAGCACUGACACUGAGGCACGAAAGCGUGGGGAGCAAACAGG
Molecule: ribosomal RNA, 253 nt
Filed under: uncultured bacterium
Lineage: Bacteria
Description: partial 16S ribosomal RNA
Rfam family: Bacterial small subunit ribosomal RNA
Source: RNAcentral